CAGUCGCGUCUGCUGGGACUCAGCCUUGCUUCUGCUUGGUGCACUUCUCAGUAGAUGGGCCAGCAUCAAUUUGGUCGUCAUAAAAUGACUGGAGGAAUGUAGCUUCGAUCUUGUAUUGAAGUGUUAUAGCCUUUGGUAGAUGUGAUUAUCGGGAUUGAGG
Molecule: ribosomal RNA, 160 nt
Filed under: Glomus sp. (unid)
Lineage: Eukaryota; Fungi; Glomeromycota; Glomeromycetes; Glomerales; Glomeraceae
Source: RNAcentral